GACGGAGGGUGCAAGCGUUGUUCGGAAUCACUGGGCGUAAAGCGCGUGUAGGCGGUUUGAUAAGUCGAAUGUGAAAGCCCGAGGCUCAACCUCGGAAGUGCAUUCGAAACUGUCAGGCUUGAGAACGGGAGAGGGAAGUGGAAUUCCUGGUGUAGAGGUGAAAUUCGUAGAUAUCAGGAGGAACACCGGUGGCGAAGGCGGCUUCCUGGACCGAUACUGCCGCUGAGACGCGAAAUCGUGGGGAGCAAACAGG
This 253-nucleotide ribosomal RNA is filed under the name uncultured bacterium. RNAcentral's name for it is "partial 16S ribosomal RNA". It matches the Rfam family "Bacterial small subunit ribosomal RNA", at positions 524 to 776 of the family's 1533-position model. The record is from RNAcentral.